This 448-nucleotide ribosomal RNA is filed under the name uncultured bacterium. RNAcentral's name for it is "bacterial SSU rRNA". It matches the Rfam family "Bacterial small subunit ribosomal RNA", at positions 329 to 793 of the family's 1533-position model. The record is from RNAcentral.
AGCCAGACUCCUACGGGAGGCAGCAGUGGGGAAUAUUGCACAAUGGGGGAAACCCUGAUGCAGCGACGCCGCGUGAGUGAAGAAGUAUUUCGGUAUGUAAAGCUCUAUCAGCAGGGAAGAAAAUGACGGUACCUGAUUAAGAAGCCCCGGCUAACUACGUGCCAGCAGCCGCGGUAAUACGUAGGGGGCAAGCGUUAUCCGGAUUUACUGGGUGUAAAGGGAGCGUAGACGGUGAUGCAAGUCAGAAGUGAAAGCCCGGGGCUCAACUCCGGGACUGCUUUUGAAACUGUGUGACUGGAGUGCAGGAGAGGUAAGCGGAAUUCCUGGUGUAGCGGUGAAAUGCGUAGAUAUCAGGAGGAACACCAGUGGCGAAGGCGGCUUACUGGACUGUAACUGACGUUGAGGCUCGAAAGCGUGGGGAGCAAACAGGAUUAGAUACCCGCGUAUG